GACGAACGCUGGCGGCGUGCUUAACACAUGCAAGUCGGACGGUAAGGUCCUUCGGGGUACACGAGUGGCGAACGGGUGAGUAACACGUGGGUGAUCUGCCCUGCACUUCGGGAUAAGCCUGGGAAACUGGGUCUAAUAACGGAUAGGACCACUGCCUGCAUGGGUGGUGGUGGAAAGCUUUUGCGGUGUGGGAUGGGCCCGCGGCCUAUCAGCUUGUUGGUGGGGUGAUGGCCUACCAAGGCGACGACGGGUAGCCGGCCUGAGAGGGUGACCGGCCACACUGGGACUGAGAUACGGCCCAGACUCCUACGGGAGGCAGCAGUGGGGAAUAUUGCACAAUGGGCGCAAGCCUGAUGCAGCGACGCCGCGUGAGGGAUGACGGCCUUCGGGUUGUAAACCUCUUUCAGCACCGACGAAGCGCAAGUGACGGUAGGUGCAGAAGAAGGACCGGCCAACUACGUGCCAGCCGCCGCGGUAA
RNAcentral lists this ribosomal RNA (478 nucleotides) under uncultured bacterium. Its description in RNAcentral is "partial 16S ribosomal RNA". It matches the Rfam family "Bacterial small subunit ribosomal RNA", at positions 28 to 523 of the family's 1533-position model. The record is from RNAcentral.